GGGCGCAUAGCUCAGUUGGUAGAGCAGCUGACUCUUAAUCAGCGGGUCCAGGGUUCGAAUCCCUGUGCGCCCCCCA
This 76-nucleotide transfer RNA is filed under the name Rhodospirillaceae bacterium. Its description in RNAcentral is "tRNA-Lys". It matches the Rfam family "tRNA". From Rfam's summary of the family: Transfer RNA (tRNA) molecules are approximately 80 nucleotides in length. Their secondary structure includes four short double-helical elements and three loops (D, anti-codon, and T loops). The record is from RNAcentral. Lineage: Bacteria; Pseudomonadati; Pseudomonadota; Alphaproteobacteria; Rhodospirillales; Rhodospirillaceae. RNAcentral also lists the same sequence under 1 other name.